Molecule: long non-coding RNA, 771 nt
Organism: Xiphophorus couchianus (Monterrey platyfish)
Lineage: Eukaryota; Metazoa; Chordata; Actinopteri; Cyprinodontiformes; Poeciliidae
Exons: 2
Source: RefSeq, a predicted model, not a curated record
UCCAGCAGCUGGAACAGAAAAAUAGAUGAAGGAAACAUCAGACUGAAAUCAUGGAGCCAAACACCAGAUGGAUGUUGGACAGACUGACAGUCCUCUGGUCUACAAAGUGCAGCAUGAAGGUGACUUUGAACAGAACUCAUGGAAAAGUAGUUCUUGUACAUGUACAGACCAUAUAUAUGGAGUCAAACACAGCAUGAAGCUGUGUUUGUUUCUGCUGGGCAGACAGACCACUGGGAACCUCUGAGCUCUGCUGGUCCACUCUGUGGAGGAACCAGGAACAAUUAGGAAGUCAGGAAAUAUUCAUCCAUCAGUAUUCACAGAUGGAAUCACCAAGAGUUUGACAUUAAAAUUCCAUAAAGCAGAAAAACAGAGCAUCACAUAAAAAUAAUACAAAGAAGUUAGGAGGAAGAUUAACUACAACAAUGGAGACCAGUAACACCAGAAUCACCCAGUAGACAUUUCAAAAAGUUGGUACUGAAAGUGGACUUCUAACAGUCCACACUGUCAUUAGAUCUGAUGCUGGUGGAGACAGUUUCCCAGAGGUUGGGGACAGUGGAAAUGAAGGUUCUGUCCACACAGGUCUUCAGGAUAGUGUGGGACAUCCAUCAGGUUCCUAUGAAUAGAUCUGAGGUGAUGUGGACAUGGAGGAGGUCAUGGAAAUGUCUUCCACAGUCUGACAUGGAGCCAGGAAGCAGAAGAACAUCAUCAUCAACACCCCAGAGAUGAAGAUAAGAUGGUGAUUUCAAUAGAACAGAGCAGCUGAUUUUUGUA